Molecule: ribosomal RNA, 570 nt
Filed under: Triticum aestivum (bread wheat)
Lineage: Eukaryota; Viridiplantae; Streptophyta; Magnoliopsida; Poales; Poaceae
Description: partial small subunit ribosomal RNA
Source: RNAcentral
AUGAGGCGGCUCCAUCGAAAUCACGAUUUCCCAUGGUUGUUAGUGGGAGACCUGAAUGAAAUACAAUAUUUACAUGAGAAGGAAGGGGGGAACCCACGCCCGGUUCAGUACAUGCAGGCGUUUCAUGACGCCAUUGAGGACUGUGAACUUCAUGAUAUGGGGUUUGUUGGAGAUCCGUUUACUUGGUUCAGAGGCAGGAUUCGAGAAAGGCUCGACCGAGGACUUGUGAAUGAUGCUUGGUCGCUUAUGUUUCCUAAUGCCGCAUUGAAAAAUCUGGAAUAUAAUCACUCAGAUCAUUGCCCAUUAUUGAUAAAUACGGAGUACUAUAAUCAACCAGUCAUAGGCGGGACUGGCCAGCAGAAAAAGUUCGAGGCUCGAUGGUUGCGUGAGGACCAGUUUAAUGAGACCGUGGCUGAUGCUUGGGUGAAUGCAGGUGCUGAUUCGACGGUAACGAAUAUAUAUAUGAGAAACGGAGCAAAAUGCAUGAGCAGUUCCAUGAUUGGGACCAGAGAGUUCUUAAGAAGCCAAAGAAACGACUUCGUAAGGCUCAAAGAGAGAUGGAGAAGGUAA